UGACUAAUUAAUACUUUUGCAAGAUGAUUAAUUAGUUGCUAUGUGCUGUGAGUGAAAUGAGAGUGAGAGAGAGAGACACAAGCAAUCACAAACACAAUGUUUAUAGUGGUUCGGAGCUAUCCCUUGCUCCUACGUCCACUCCCCAAGUCUCACUUGGGAAUUCACUAUAAUCCCUUGGAUUACAGCCGGUUGUUUCACAAGCUCACAACCCAACUUGUUGUUUUACGAGCUCACAACGAACUCGGUCGGUUUUCCCAGGCUCACCGACUAGAACCACCCC
RNAcentral lists this long non-coding RNA (280 nucleotides) under Phoenix dactylifera (date palm). RNAcentral's name for it is "long non-coding RNA (PDAC_LNC017932)". The record is from RNAcentral. Lineage: Eukaryota; Viridiplantae; Streptophyta; Magnoliopsida; Arecales; Arecaceae.